Molecule: ribosomal RNA, 1542 nt
Filed under: uncultured bacterium
Lineage: Bacteria
Description: bacterial SSU rRNA
Rfam family: Bacterial small subunit ribosomal RNA
Source: RNAcentral
UCUCCCAUAUGGUCGACCUGCAGGCGGCCGCGAAUUCACUAGUGAUUAGAGUUUGAUCCUGGCUCAGAUUGAACGCUGGCGGCAUGGCUAAAACAUGCAAGUCGAACGCCUGUAGCAAUACAGGAGUGGCGAAAGGGCGAGGAAUAGAUUCCUACAUACCUCGAGGUCGGGGAUACCCCGGAGAAAUCCGGAUCAAUACCCGAUGUGGUCGAGAGAUCAAAGGUUUACCGCCUUGAGAGUGGGGAAUCUCCUAUCAGCUAGUUGGUGAGGUAACGGCUCACCAAGGCAAAGACGGGUAGCGGGUGUGAGAGCACGGCCCGCCGCAUCGAGACUGAGACACUGCUCGGACUCCUACGGGAGGCUGCAGUAACGAAUCUUCCGCAAUGCGCGAAAGCGUGACGGGGCAAUGCCGCGUGCAGGAUGAAGCCCUUCGGGGUGUAAACUGCUGUCAGGGUGCAGGAAUGAAAUGACCAUACCCAAAGGAAGCACCGGCUAACUCUGUGCCAGCAGCCGCGGUAAUACAGAGGGUGCGAGCGUUAAUCGGAAUCACUGGGCUUAAAGGGUGCGUAGGCGGAUGCAUAGGCGCUUUGUGAAAUCCCACGGCUCAACCGUGGAAUUGCUUGGCGAACCAUGCGUCUUGAGGUUGGUAGAGGUCACUGGAACGAUAGGUGGAGCGGUGAAAUGCGUAGAUAUCUAUCGGAACGCCAACGGUGAAGACAGGUGACUGGGCCAAAUCUGACGCUGAGGCACGAAAGCGUGGGGAGCAAACGGGAUUAGAUACCCCGGUAGUCCACGCCGUAAACGAUGCACACUUGGUCGGAGCGGUUUGACUCCGUUUCGGCCGUAGGAAAACUGAUGAGUGUGCCGCCUGGGGAGUACGGUCGCAAGAUUAAAACUCAAAGGAAUUGACGGGGGCUCACACAAGCGGUGGAGCAUGUGGCUUAAUUCGAAGCAACGCGAAGAACCUUACCUAGGCUUGACAUGCACGGAUAAACCCUAUGAAAGUAGGGGUACACCCGCAAGGGCGGAACGUGCGCAGGUGCUGCAUGGCUGUCGUCAGCUCGUGCUGUGAAGUGUCGGGUUAAGUCCCUCAACGAGCGCAACCCCUGUCGCUACUUGCUAACGUGUAAUGGCGAGGACUGUAGCGAGACUGCCGGUGUCAAACCGGAGGAAGGUGGGGAUGACGUCAAGUCCUCAUGGCCUUUAUGUCUAGGGCUGCACACGUGCUACAAUGGUAUGGACAGAACGAUGCAAGACCGCAAGGUGGAGCAAAUCGCCAAACCAUACCCCAGUUCAGAUUGUGGGCUGAAAUUCGCCCGCAUGAAGUUGGAAUCGCUAGUAAUCGCGGAUCAGCUACGCCGCGGUGAAUAUGUUCCUGAGCCUUGUACACACCGCCCGUCAAGUCAUGGGAGCCGGCAGUGCCCGAAGUCGCGCAGAUUCAUGCGUGCCCACGGCAAGGCUGGUGACUGGGACUAAGUCGUAACAAGGUAGCCGUAGGGGAACCUGCGGCUGGAUCACCUCCUUAAUCGAAUUCCCGCGGCC